UGAUGAUACGGCUGAUGGAGGGUAUGCGUCUUCACUGUGCCAGUAUUAAAGCGAGGAAAAACUCGUGAGACAGUAGAGAAGCACGCAGUCAGACAGGUCGUCUUGUGCUCACGGAGCCGGGAUACUUCCACGGAUUUCAUUACGAUGGCUUGGAGAGGCGCGAGAACACGGUCGUUUUGUCGACCAAUUCAUUAUUUACCCUAAGGCCAGUGUUGUUUCUGUACAGAGGAUUCAGCGGAAAGGAAAAGGUGAUGACCUGGAUUGUGCCGUGUGAAUGACUGAAUACCAUGAAGCACACACAAAAGCUGCUGUUCAUUGUGUGCUUCAUCCUGGUACUGGGCUUUAUUUACUACUCCUCCUGGAAGCUACAUCUAUACGUAUGGGGUCAGACGCCUCAGAGGAUUGAAGAAGAGACAACUGUAGUCCUGACAGAAGUGAAAAGAAUUACAGAGUUGAAAACAGACAACAACGUGGGACGAAUAGUAGGUACACCAGUGUAUGAUACACAGGGCUUUUCCCUAAAUCUGGACAAAAAACUGCCACCAGAGUUGGCAUACAAGUAUGACAACCUCAGCGAAGGAGAGUGCAAGCCAGGAUAUGCAGCAGCCAAGAUGACCAACAUCUAUCCUAAGUUCAUAAAACCAGCACCCAUGUUUCUUGAUCAGAACUUCAGACGUCUAGGAAAAGUCAACAGUUACUUACCUCCCUUUGGAUUCAGAACGCAAGAAAGAAUCAUAGACAGUAUUUUAACUGCCACAAAAUAUUAUGGACUUGGAAAGGAGCUGGACAGUCUCAGGUGUAAAAGAUGCAUCAUUGUGGGCAACGGGGGCAUCCUCUCCAACAAGUCUCUGGGCUCCCGUAUAGAUGACUAUGAUGUUAUAGUAAGGUUGAAUGAGGCCCCAAUAACUGGUUAUGUCAAAGACGUCGGGACCAAAACCACCAUGAGGAUAACCUACCCAGAGGGAGCUUUCCAGAAGGCUGAACUUUAUGAAAAAAACUCACUGUUUGUUUUUUCUGCUUUCAAACCUCUGGAUUUCAAGUGGCUCAGACAGAUGGUCUUCAAGGAGAAUCUGAGGGGCACACAGGGUUUUUGGAAGCCGGUGGCUCGCAAAUUGCCUCGCGAGCCAAAAGAAAUAAGAAUCCUCAAUCCCUUCUUUAUCCAGGAGGCUGCCUUCCAGUUCAUAGGCCUGCCGUUAAACCAUGGCCUAAUGGGCAAAGGGACGUACGAUGUAUGCACUCCGCUCAAGAAUCAUGUUUGCCUGGACAUCUGCUGUAUCAGAACAUUCCAACUUUGGGAACAGUUGCUAUAACGAUGGCACUACACAACUGUGAUGAGGUGGCAGUGGCUGGUUUCGGCUACGACAUGAGCACACCCUAUGCACCUCUGCACUACUACGAGAAUGUCAAGAUGUCUGCUAUUAAAGAGUCAUGGACACACAACAUAUCCAAGGAGAAGGAGUUCCUCCGCAAGCUGGUGAAGGCCAACGUCAUCACAGACCUGACCCACGGUAUCUGAGUUUACUCCCACCUACAGUCUCCUUCUGCGUUUCCCAAAGGACUACAAAACAGGAAGCUGGGAAACGGAUAGAAAAGAACCCUUAGAUUCCGGGUGGCCUGAACACUGCCGGGGUUUUCAUAUCAAAGGAGAUCUUUUUUUUUUUAAAGAUACAGGAGGUUUUCUGUGGAGAGAUGCACACAUGUGCCUUCAGAACCAAAGAUUCCAGCUGAUCGAAGCAGGGGAUGGGGGGUCAUGGGGAGGACUUAUCAAGAGGCGGUCGGAGGAAAGCUCUUCAGCCCCACGCAUCAAUGCUUACCCCCCACCCCACCGCCCUGUUGACAUACACAUGUCAGGAUUUCGCUGAACUUGCUGGCCAACUUGAUGAAGGGACAUAAAGGAAUAAAGAGAGGACGGUAACAGAACGUGUGCGGGGAUGGGCUGAUUAUUAGCAGUGCCAAAUGUACCUCGUACAGGGGAGCAGUUCUCUCCUUUUGCUGCCUGAAUGUAUUCACUUUACUCAGUGUUAAUAUCAAAGAUUUCUAUAUUGCUUUUUAACAAGAUGCAGCAGCCCCCAUCCCCCACCUUCCCUCUGUCCAUUCAUUCACAUCUGUCCAGGGUCCAAAAUGAACACCUGCCAAGUCAGAUAGUAGAUAAAGAGGGUCACCUGCCACUCGGACACUUUUGAGACACUCACAAUCGAGUGUUGUCGUAAUAUAUAGACUUUUGUUUCAAUUUCCUCAGUUUUUUUUCUGUAAGGGAGUUAUAUUAGUGACUAUAAACCAGGUUGUGUUGUUAAGCUGGCUCUACAGAGUGGUUGUGUGUUUCUGAUAUCUGGUGGUCAGUUAUCCCCAUGUCACCAAAGGUCACCAAAUAGAUUAAAACAAACAAGUUUACAGAUAAAUUAUUUAAAUGUUUUCAAUUUUCAGCUUUUUAAUGAUAAUUUUAGUAAUCAGAAUCUCUACACUAAACAGAAUUGAAAGUGUGUGGUUUCGUUGGUCUUAAUUCUUUUUAUUUGGUCUUUUUUUUGUUGUUUCUGGCAGGUGAGCCCAGAAGUUAAAUUCGGACACCGACCUCUCUCUUCCACCUCUUUGUGUCUUUGUAAAUUCUUCUUCCUCUCGGUUGAUUCACAUCAUGGUAUUGUCUUCACCACUUCAUCAGCUACAGCAUAGACGUACAGUAACGUGUCCUGGGGAAAGAGAGUAGAUUCUGUAUGUCCGAUCCCCUUUUCCAACCACCUGUUGCUGCAGAUGUUCUUGUUCUUCAGUAAAUGGUGAAAUCUCAGAUCGUAGAUUAUAAAUAUAUAUAUACACACACACACACACACACACACACACACACACACACACACACACACACACACACACACACACACACACACACACAUACAUAUAUAUAUAUAUAUAUAUAUAUAAUAUAAUUAUUUCUUUGGUUGUUUUUAGGUUACUUUUAAUUAUUUAUUUUACAAAGUCCCAGUGUUUUGGUCACAAGCCUACUUUCUGUUCAGUUAAGAGAAAACGCAAAAAGUUUGAAUUUGUGUUUCUUUUCAAAAUUCCCCACCAUGUUUUUCUACAGACACUGCAUCAUCUUUUAAGUUUGUGGCAAAAGCAGUGGUGGGAUUGAAGGAUCAAUCUGUUUUUUAAUUGGCUUAAUGUUAAAUGUUGUUUCUGUCCUUAAUGCAGCUUAUGUUAGCACAAUACUGUUGUGCUCUUUUCUACGAUGGACGCAUUCACAGUUUCUUAAAACUGAGAUAUUCUAUGAUGUUAUAAUUGCAAUGCUCAUUGUCAAAUUACAUACAUAAUAUUACAUGGUCUGAUCAGGCCUUUGCACUUUGCAGAGAUGGUUCUGCCCCAUGCCUCUCAGUAUUUCAGUAUUCUCCCUCAAAAAAUGAUGUGUCAACAUGUCACAUCUGUGUGCUUUUUGUCAUUUUAUCAAAUUAAUGCGAUAAACAGCUUUACAAUA
Molecule: RNA transcript, 3457 nt
Organism: Micropterus dolomieu (smallmouth bass)
Lineage: Eukaryota; Metazoa; Chordata; Actinopteri; Centrarchiformes; Centrarchidae
Gene: st3gal3b
Gene name: ST3 beta-galactoside alpha-2,3-sialyltransferase 3b
Exons: 14
Source: RefSeq, a predicted model, not a curated record